CACGUAGGGGGCAAGCGUUGUCCGGAUUUAUUGGGCGUAAAGAGCUCGUAGGCGGUUCGGUAAGUCGGGUGUGAAACCUCCAGGCUCAACCUGGAGACGCCACCCGAUACUGCUGUGACUAGAGUCCGGUAGGGGAGCGUGGAAUUCCUGGUGUAGCGGUGAAAUGCGCAGAUAUCAGGAGGAACACCAGCGGCGAAGGCGGCGCUCUGGGCCGGAACUGACGCUGAGGAACGAAAGCCAGGGGAGCAAACGGG
Molecule: ribosomal RNA, 254 nt
Filed under: uncultured bacterium
Lineage: Bacteria
Description: partial 16S ribosomal RNA
Rfam family: Bacterial small subunit ribosomal RNA
Source: RNAcentral